ACUCAAAUGAAUUGACGGGGGCUCAUACAAGCGGUGGAGCAUGUGGUUUAAUUCGAUACUACGCGCAAAAUCUUACCGAUUCUUGACAUAUUGAGAUGUUUUUUAUUGCGUAAAUAAGAAAUCAAUAGUCAUUGACUAUAUCUCUUUACAGGUGUUGCAUGGCUGUCGUCAGCUCGUGUCGUGAGAUGUUUGGUUAAUUCCCUAAAACGAGCGAAACCCUCAUAUUAUAGUCGUUAUUACAAUUUAUUAUUGUUUUAAUCUAUAAUUCACUGCUCAAGAUAAUUGAGAGUACGGUGAGGAUGACGUCAAGUCUUCAUGACCCUUAUGAAUCGGGCCACACAUGUGCUACAAUGGUAAUGACAAAAAGAAGCAAUAACGCAAGUUGGAGCAAAUCUACAAACAUUGCCUUAGUUCGGAUUGCUUUCUGAAACUCGAAAGCAUGAAGCAGGAAUCGCUAGUAAUCGCAAAUCAGCACGUUGCGGUGAAUCAGUUCUUGGGCCUUGUACACACCGCCCGU
RNAcentral lists this ribosomal RNA (517 nucleotides) under uncultured bacterium. Its description in RNAcentral is "partial 16S ribosomal RNA". It matches the Rfam family "Bacterial small subunit ribosomal RNA", at positions 899 to 1397 of the family's 1533-position model. The record is from RNAcentral.